AUUCCCUUGCGAAUUCUCUCACACCAAGCGUCAUUUCCACACCCUUAAAAAAACCUCAAAGAAACGCUCGAAAAUGGAAGCAGAAUCCUCAGUCAAGUUCGACCCGCAGAUCCUGUUGUCGAAAAUCGAGCCGCUGACGAUGUUGGAUCUGUGCGAUCGGUGGUCUCCGAUGGACAGGCGACCGGAGAAUUAGAAAUGACUGACCCGGCUUCUCGGUGUCGUGCGAUGGAUAGUUACCUCGGGACGUGAAUGUUCGAAGAUGGGUCUCGUUCGAGUCGCUCCACUGCGAUCCAGGAAUCGGAGGGGUCGGACUGUGGCUUCCAUCGCCAAUGCUGAACCUAAGGACUGCAGAGAUGCGACUCCGAGCUUCGGCAUUUUCAACACUCGAGCUGAGAAGUCUUGAGUAAAAUGUAGUAUCAAUUUUUCCCGAAAAUCUGAUCUGCAAAUAUCUGCAAAUAUUGUCAUCCGAAGAAGUAUCAAGGGUGGUUGGUUCGAUCUA
This is a long non-coding RNA of Eucalyptus grandis, 499 nucleotides long. RefSeq lists it as uncharacterized. The transcript is spliced from 2 exons. Lineage: Eukaryota; Viridiplantae; Streptophyta; Magnoliopsida; Myrtales; Myrtaceae. The record is from RefSeq and is a predicted model, not a curated record.